UGGGGAAUAUUGGACAAUGGAGGAAACUCUGAUCCAGCAAUUCUGUGUGUGUGAAGAAGGUUUUAGGACUGUAAAACACUUUUAGUAGGGAAGAAAAAAAUGACGGUACCUACAGAAGAAGCAACGGCUAAAUACGUGCCAGCAGCCGCGGUAAUACGUAUGUUGCGAGCGUUAUCCGGAAUUAUUGGGCUUAAAGGGCAUCUAGGCGGUAAGACAAGUUGAAGGUGAAAACCUGUGGCUCAACCAUAGGCUUGCCUACAAAACUGUUGAACUAGAGUACUGGAAAGGUGGGUGGAACUACACGAGUAGAGGUGAAAUUCGUAGAUAUGUGUAGGAAUGACGAUGAUGAAGAUAACUCACUGGACAGAAACUGACGCUGAAGUGCGAAAGCUAGGGGAGCAAACAGG
RNAcentral lists this ribosomal RNA (407 nucleotides) under Verrucomicrobiota bacterium. RNAcentral's name for it is "Verrucomicrobia bacterium partial 16S ribosomal RNA". It matches the Rfam family "Bacterial small subunit ribosomal RNA", at positions 355 to 776 of the family's 1533-position model. Lineage: Bacteria; Pseudomonadati; Verrucomicrobiota. The record is from RNAcentral.